UAACGCUUGUGGUGUGUCUUAGUCAUGCAAGUCGAACGAGAAAGUCACCUUCGGGUGACGAGUACAGUGGCGAACGGGUGAGUAACACGUGGGCAAUCUGCCCUUAGGUUGGGGNUAACACCUUCCAACGAGGUGCCUAAUACCGAAUGAUAAGACGAGUUAGUGACUUGUUUUUAAAGGUGGCCUCUACUUGUAAGCUGCCGCCUAAGGAUGGGCCCGCGUCGUAUUAGCCUUGUUGGUAGGGUAAUGGCCUACCAAGGCGACNAUCCGUAGCCGCCUGAGAGGGUGAACGGCCACACUGGCACUGAGAUAAGGGCCAGUCUCCUACGGGAGCCCAGCAGUCUAGAAAUUUGCACAAUCGCCGAAAGGCGGAUGCAGCGACACCACGUGGAGGAUGAAGCCCUCGGGUGUAAACUCCUGUCAGAAGGGAAGAAGUGCGGCGUUAAUACCGCUCGUUACUUUGACGGUACCUUCAGAGGAAGCUCCGGCUAACUACGUGCCAGCAGCCGCGGUAUACGUA
RNAcentral lists this ribosomal RNA (520 nucleotides) under uncultured Pseudomonadota bacterium. RNAcentral describes it as "bacterial SSU rRNA". It matches the Rfam family "Bacterial small subunit ribosomal RNA", at positions 32 to 529 of the family's 1533-position model. The record is from RNAcentral. Lineage: Bacteria; Pseudomonadati; Pseudomonadota.